This 437-nucleotide ribosomal RNA is filed under the name uncultured Oscillospiraceae bacterium. RNAcentral describes it as "partial 16S ribosomal RNA". It matches the Rfam family "Bacterial small subunit ribosomal RNA", at positions 341 to 792 of the family's 1533-position model. The record is from RNAcentral. Lineage: Bacteria; Bacillati; Bacillota; Clostridia; Eubacteriales; Oscillospiraceae.
ACGGGAGGCAGCAGUGGGGAAUAUUGGGCAAUGGGCGAAAGCCUGACCCAGCAACGCCGCGUGAAGGAAGAAGGUCUUCGGAUUGUAAACUUCUUUUAUGAGGGACGAAACAAAUGACGGUACCUCAUGAAUAAGCCACGGCUAACUACGUGCCAGCAGCCGCGGUAAUACGUAGGUGGCAAGCGUUAUCCGGAUUUACUGGGUGUAAAGGGCGCGUAGGCGGGAAUGCAAGUCAGAUGUGAAAUCUCUGGGCUCAACCCAGAAACUGCAUUUGAAACUGUAUUUCUUGAGUGCUGGAGAGGUAGAUGGAAUUCCUAGUGUAGCGGUGAAAUGCGUAGAUAUUAGGAGGAACACCAGUGGCGAAGGCGGCCUGCUGGACGACAACUGACGCUGAGGCGCGAAAGCGUGGGGAGCAAACAGGAUUAGAUACCCUGGUA